CCGACAUGGGCCACAAUGACGGACAAAUUGGUGGGCAUCUGCAAACAUUAUUGGCCACAAAUAACCAACCUAUAAAGCUUUACGAGCCGUUGUCGUAAUGUGUGAAGUCUUGCUUGAGAAUGCUCCGAGCACCUGGUUUUAGAAGAAAGAAUAGAAAUUGUGAUAACAAAAUCUUAAAUAGAAUACUAACAAUAUUCUAAUUAGACUAUAAUAAUGGUAAACAAACGUAAUCAAAUUCAAAACAACUCAAAGAAAUUUCAAACAAACAAUAAAAUUCUUAAAAAAUAUUAGAAUGAUCACAAAUUUUACUCAAAUAUAUGUCAAUUCAACCUUAAUUUAAUUCUAGUUAAAACCCUAUUGAAUUUCACUUAACUUUAGACCAAACCUAAUUUAAUCUUAAAUCCUAAUAAUUCCUAAAUCCUAAGUCAAAUCCUAAACAAAUCUUAAAUUAAACCCUAUUCCAAAUCCUAAAUCCUAAAUCAAAUCCUAAACCAAACCCUAAUCCAAUCCUAAAUCCUAAUCCAAACCUUAAAAUAAAUCCUAACCAAAUCUUAAUCCAAAUCCUAAAUCAAACCCUAAUCAAAUCUUAAACCCUAAUUCAAACCCUAAUCCAAACCCUAAUCUAAAUCCUAAUUCAACCCUAAAUUCUAAUCCAAAUCCUAAAUCCUAAACCAAAUCCUAAUCCAACCCUAAACUCUAACCCAAAUCCUAAAUCCUAAACCAAACCUUAAUCCAAACCCUAAUCCAAUCCUAAACUCUAAUCCAAAUCCUAAAUCCUAAACCAAACCUUAAAUAAAAUCCUAACCAAAUCCUAAUCCAAACUCUAAAUCAAACCCUAAUCAAAUCCUAAUCCAACGCUAAACUCUAAUCCAAAUCCUAAAUCCUAUGACAGAUUUAAAUCUCAAUAUUUAAUGAAUAAACUGUUGAUCUCAAUUCAAAAUUUGCACACUUCUUAAAAAUCAAGUUCAAAACUAGCAAAUUUUUUUGAAAAGGAUCGGAGUUACUAAAUUGACGAAAACCUCAAAAAUGUGUUUGGGUGUUAGCCGGCCUCCUUCUCCAAUCUUGUUGCUAACCUUCCAGAGCCAAUUUCUCUUCUGUACAUCGUUCGAUUGGUUUCAAAUUUCUCAUGAACAUAGAAAAAUAAGUCUAAUAUCCUCUUACAUAAGUUUUACUCCAAUCCAACUAGUAGAUUGUAUGAAAUCUUAAAAACCCUCACUAGACCUAAAAUUCUACUUUCUCAGACCUUGACUCACUUAAACCUCAAUAUCACUUAGUUCAACCGUUAGAUCAAGCUCAAAUUCACAACAUGUAUUCAACACAACUAUGACUAUGAACCCAAAAAGAUUCACCCGUGGAUCUGCAACAAAACUCUUGAAAUCACUCAAAACAUAAACCCUAUUUUAUUUCAUAAAAUCCAAGUCAUCCGAAAAAAAAAUUCAACUUUGCAAAGCUCUUACAAAUUCAUAUCAACUCCAAAUUACCCAAAAUCAAUGCCCAUAGAAACCCUAUU
RNAcentral lists this long non-coding RNA (1510 nucleotides) under Physcomitrium patens. RNAcentral's name for it is "long non-coding RNA (PPAT_LNC006210)". The record is from RNAcentral. Lineage: Eukaryota; Viridiplantae; Streptophyta; Bryopsida; Funariales; Funariaceae.